UCUCUCUCUCUCUCUCUCCCUGUGCAUCUCUUCCAAGUCGAACAAAUUGGAUCUCUGAUUCUUUAGCUCUGAGCAAAAUAAAUCUCACCACAUAUGCGUAAUUCUCUCUUCUUCUCAAUCUGUCUAUAGCCGUUUCUUCUUGCCAGAUCUAUAUGCUCUAUGCAGAUUAUAAUGUGACGGUGGCUUUCUCCUAUAUCCAAAUCGGAAUUAGAUGGUAUGCCAGAUGGUCAAUUCAUAAUCCUUAUUUAUGCGGAUGAGAUGCUAGAGGUUUAAGUUUUGUUUUCAUCUACUCUUCCGCAGAGGCCAAAACCCUCUCAUCCUCUCAGCAAUGUCGUCGUCGUCUCUCCCCAAACCCCCAACCUAGCCGCUGUCCCUAGAAGCCUCCGACCCCCUCCUCGAUGUCAUUGAGGAGCUCAAGCGCUGCCAGCGCACUGAUGUUGUGUGUGGCUCGCAACACCACCCGCCUUGCGACCACGCAAACGACGAGUUGUGCCAGAGCUUUUCGUUAAGCCCUUCAUCAGUGGCGGAGCCUCUGGUAUGCUCGCUACCUGCGUCAUCCAACCUAUCGAUAUGAUCAAGGUGAGAAUUCAAUUGGAUCAGGGAUCAGCUGGACAAGUUGCCAGGACCAUGAUCAAUGAGGAGGGUUUUGGUUCAUUGUAUAAGUGCUAGCACUUAGAGGAACGGACUAUGGCAAGUCAAAGAUGAGUUAUCCGGGCCAUGAUUUUAGGUUAUUCUUACUAUCUACUAAUCAUUUAAGUAAGUUGUAAUGGAUUAAUCUUUGUAGUUUUAGAUUUCGAACAUUUGAGCCUCUGGCUUGUAAAAGUUUAUAUUCUGGGGAUCCUUCUCAGUUGUUACUGCAUUAUCAUCCAGUGUUGUAAUGUCAAACCUUUCCUGCUAGGAAAUACCAACAAGUUCACUAAUGUUGAUGUGUUUGAUUAAUAAUGCUACUUAUUGGGUUUGCAGCUGAAGUUUCUUUUCCUUUUGGGGGGUGGCUCAAGGGCUAGUUUCUUGUUUCCACUACCACAUUAAUCAGACUUGCUGCUAACUAGUUGUAUUCAUAACUACUCACAAUGUUCUUGCAAGUAUCACUAUUGUAUUAGUGCUUAUUGAAAUUUAAUGCUCAUUGAUUGGCUAAGGGAUAUGAUGAUAUUCGACUUGAUUGAAUUUACUUGAGAAGUGGAUAUUUCACUUGCUAAGUUCUGGUGUGGGUUCUUUAUUUGUUAGAAUAAAAUGCUUAGCCAAUUUACUUACACUUUCUAUAGUUCACUAUGCCCCUUUUUUCAGAACAGUUUUAAUUCUAGUUUGGUUAUUGUAGGAUACUAGUCCUUCCAUGGAAUCCUUAGCUUUGAGCUGUUACAUUGAAGGAUAUUAUUUGGCAAGGAGAAACCAGUGGAGUUAAUGAAGUGCUGCAUUCAUUCAUGAUUGAUAUCCAAUCAGAAUAUUAGUGGAGUAUUCAUUAAGUUAUAUUUUCCAAAUCAUUUUGUAGUCACUUUAGACUUAUUUUGUAUUGUAUAUUAAUGUAUUUUAGUGAGUAAUAUAGUCCUUUUGGUGGUUUUAAGAUGCUUUGGAUAUAUCUUAUUUUUGGAUGGUUUUCAACUUUUAAGGACACCGUUUAUGUAUAAGCAAAGGAUGACUCUUUCAUUUUGUUUUGAGGACACAAGAAAUGUGUCCUAGUAGGGAAAAGAUCGAGGACACAUUUCUAUUGAUAUGAAAACAGAUUUUAUGUGUCUUCUAAUGGAUACAAGGACACU
Long non-coding RNA from Rosa rugosa (rugosa rose), 1751 nucleotides. RefSeq lists it as uncharacterized. The record is from RefSeq and is a predicted model, not a curated record. The transcript is spliced from 4 exons. Lineage: Eukaryota; Viridiplantae; Streptophyta; Magnoliopsida; Rosales; Rosaceae.